RNAcentral lists this ribosomal RNA (418 nucleotides) under uncultured bacterium. Its description in RNAcentral is "partial 16S ribosomal RNA". It matches the Rfam family "Bacterial small subunit ribosomal RNA", at positions 363 to 774 of the family's 1533-position model. The record is from RNAcentral.
UUUGGACAAUGGGGGAAACCCUGAUCUAGCCAUCCCGCGUGAAUGAGGAUGGCCUUCGGGUUGUAAAGUACUUUUGUCUGAGCAGAAAAGGUACCUCCUAAUACGAGUUACUGCUGACGGUAUCUGCAGAUUAAGCACCGUCUAACUACGUUCCAGCAGCCGCGGUAAUACGUAGGGUGCAAGCGUUAAUCGGAAUUACUGGGCGUAAAGCGUGUGUAGGCGGUUCGGAAAGAAAGAUGUGAAAUCCCAGGGCUCAACCUUGGAACUGCAUUUUAACUGCCGAGCUAGAGUAUGUCAGAGGGGGGUAGAAUUCCACGUGUAGCAGUGAAAUGCGUAGAUAUGUGGAGGAAUACCGAUGGCGAAGGCAGCCCCCUGGGAUAAUACUGACGCUCAGACACGAAAGCGUGGGGAGCAAACA